Molecule: small RNA, 1002 nt
Filed under: uncultured Gemmatimonas sp.
Lineage: Bacteria; Pseudomonadati; Gemmatimonadota; Gemmatimonadia; Gemmatimonadales; Gemmatimonadaceae
Description: bacterial SSU rRNA
Rfam family: Bacterial small subunit ribosomal RNA (bases 1-472)
Source: RNAcentral
GUCGUGAGAUGUUGGGUUAAGUCCCGCAACGAGCGCAACCCCUGUUCUUAGUUGCCAGCGCGUAAUGGCGGGGACUCUAGGAAGACUGCCGGUGCCAAACCGGAGGAAGGUGGGGACGACGUCAAGUCAUCAUGGUCCUUACGUCUAGGGCUACACACGUGCUACAAUGGGCGGGACAGCGGGGGCCGAGGCAGCAAUGCUCAGGCAAUCCCAAAACCCGUCCUCAGUUCGGAUUGUCGUCUGCAACUCGACGGCAUGAAGCUGGAAUCGCUAGUAAUCGUGGAUCAGCAUCGCCACGGUGAAUACGUUCCCGGGCCUUGUACACACCGCCCGUCACGCCAUGGAAGUGGCGAGCGCCCGAAGUCCGUGUCGGAACCCGCAAGGGGCCAAGCGGCCGAAGGCGAGCGUCAUGACUGGGGCGAAGUCGUAACAAGGCAGCCGUAGGGGAACCUGCGGCUGGAUCACCUCCUUAACGGAGAGUGGCGAGUAAGUACCGGGCAACCGGAACCGAAAGCUCUCAUCUAGUUAUCGCCCGUCUUUCACAUCCAGAUCUCAACUCUCGAUUUCCAUAUAUGCCGGCCCAUAUGCGCUUUGCCGCGUAUCUGGAUCGGACGAAAAAAAGAGAGCUCGCGAGAGCUCUCUGUAUCAUAUGUAAGCGAGCGGGCGCUAACUCCCGCGCGAUGUUUGACAACGGAUGAUAGAAGUAGAUCGUGGGAUUUGAAGGUGUCGGAAUCCUGAUAAGAAUUCCGAUGCCGCGAAUCAACACUAGUGAUUCAAUUUCGCGGCCCCGACUUAACGGUGGGGGCUGUAUUGGUCUCAGGGCGCGAGCUCUGGGAUCUGAUUGUAUCGCUCGUUAGAUCGCGCGUGUUUCUGUUUGAACAAGUUAUUUGAUCAAGCGAAAGAAAGUAUGUGGGGGAUGCCUAGGUACACAGAGGCGAUGAAGGCCGUGGUAAGCUGCGAUAAGCCAGGGGGAGCGGCACACACGCUAUGAGCCCUGGAUGG